UUUACUUGUUCUUAAAGAACACGAAAAGACAUGUUUCUAAUAAAAUCAAUUUUGGUGAAUUUUCUAUUGGCGGUUGUGGUUUGGAGUUCUGUUGUUUAUGUAACUUCUGCAGAUCAAGUUGAUAUGCCGUCUUUUCCCAAUUAAUUCUUACGAAGAGAAUCAUAUUUACUUUUUUAAAUUCAUGUAUAAGUUAAAAUAUGUAUGUUGAAUAAAGAAACCAAUUAGCA
Tribolium madens (black flour beetle) is the source of this 227-nucleotide long non-coding RNA. RefSeq lists it as uncharacterized. The record is from RefSeq and is a predicted model, not a curated record. The transcript has 2 exons. Lineage: Eukaryota; Metazoa; Arthropoda; Insecta; Coleoptera; Tenebrionidae.